CCUCGGGAGGCAGCAGUGAGGAAUAUUGGACAAUGGGAGGCAACUCUGGAUCCAGCCAUGCCGCGGUGCAGGAAGACUGCCCUAUGGGUUGUAAACUGCUUUUAUAUAGGAAGAAACCUUGGUACGUGUACCAAGCUGACGGUACUAUAAGAAUAAGGAUCGGCUAACUCCGUGCCAGCAGCCGCGGUAAUACGGAGGAUCCAAGCGUUAUCCGGAAUCAUUGGGUUUAAAGGGUCCGUAGGUGGAUAAUUAAGUCAGAGGUGAAAUCUUGCAGCUCAACUGUAAAAUUGCCUUUGAUACUGGUUAUCUUGAGUUAUU
This 318-nucleotide ribosomal RNA is filed under the name uncultured bacterium. Its description in RNAcentral is "bacterial SSU rRNA". It matches the Rfam family "Bacterial small subunit ribosomal RNA", at positions 339 to 651 of the family's 1533-position model. The record is from RNAcentral.